CUACUUCACCCUUAUAAGUUUGGAAACUGGAUCAUAACCUAUGUGUUACACCCUCAUGGGAUUCCAAGCCAAAUGAGUAGUAAUUAGUCCCAGUGAACAGU
Ipomoea nil (Japanese morning glory) is the source of this 101-nucleotide long non-coding RNA. RefSeq lists it as uncharacterized. Lineage: Eukaryota; Viridiplantae; Streptophyta; Magnoliopsida; Solanales; Convolvulaceae. The transcript is spliced from 3 exons. The record is from RefSeq and is a predicted model, not a curated record.